AGUGAACGCUGGCGGUACGCCUAACACAUGCAAGUCGAACGGCAGCACAGUAAGAGCUUGCUCUUACGGGUGGCGAGUGGCGGACGGGUGAGGAAUACAUCGGAAUCUACUUUUUCGUGGGGGAUAACGUAGGGAAACUUACGCUAAUACCGCAUACGACCUACGGGUGAAAGCAGGGGAUCUUCGGACCUUGCGCGAUUGAAUGAGCCGAUGUCGGAUUAGCUAGUUGGCGGGGUAAAGGCCCACCAAGGCGACGAUCCGUAGCUGGUCUGAGAGGAUGAUCAGCCACACUGGAACUGAGACACGGUCCAGACUCCUACGGGAGGCAGCAGUGGGGAAUAUUGGACAAUGGGCGCAAGCCUGAUCCAGCCAUACCGCGUGGGUGAAGAAGGCCUUCGGGUUGUAAAGCCCUUUUGUUGGGAAAGAAAAGCAGCAGGUUAAUACCCCGCUGUUCUGACGGUACCCAAAGAAUAAGCACCGGCUAACUUCGUG
Molecule: ribosomal RNA, 492 nt
Filed under: uncultured bacterium
Lineage: Bacteria
Description: partial 16S ribosomal RNA
Rfam family: Bacterial small subunit ribosomal RNA
Source: RNAcentral